GUCUUCAAGGUGUAGUGGUCAGCACGCUCGACGCGUAACCGAGAGGUCCAUGGUUCGAUUCCCGGCGAAGGCG
Molecule: transfer RNA, 73 nt
Filed under: Stegodyphus mimosarum
Lineage: Eukaryota; Metazoa; Arthropoda; Arachnida; Araneae; Eresidae
Rfam family: tRNA
About the family: Transfer RNA (tRNA) molecules are approximately 80 nucleotides in length.
Source: Rfam by way of RNAcentral